Molecule: ribosomal RNA, 301 nt
Filed under: uncultured bacterium
Lineage: Bacteria
Description: partial 16S ribosomal RNA
Rfam family: Bacterial small subunit ribosomal RNA
Source: RNAcentral
CAGCAGCCACGGUAAAACGUAGGGUGCAAGCGUUAAUCGGAAUUACUGGGCGUAAAGCGUGCGCAGGCGGUUAUAUAAGACAGAUGUGAAAUCCCCGGGCUCAACCUGGGAACUGCAUUUGUGACUGUAUAGCUAGAGUACGGCAGAGGGGGAUGGAAUUCCGCGUGUAGCAGUGAAAUGCGUAGAUAUGCGGAGGAACACCGAUGGCGAAGGCAAUCCCCUGGGCCUGUACUGACGCUCAUGCACGAAAGCGUGGGGAGCAAACAGGAUUAGAUACCCCAGUAGUCCCUGUCUCUUAUAC